UGUAUUUCCUAACGGGCCUCAUAAAUAUCUCUCGUUACUCCAGAGUCUACAUUGGUGUGGAUGAUUAUGAAAUGAUAAUGAUGCUUCAUCAGUGUCAUUCAGAUUAGGCACUGGAGAUGUGAUGCUGCAGAGCCCACAGCUGACUCAUUAGCCCAGUUUCCACCCAGCUGUGUUAUAAUCUGCUCUCUGCACCGUUGGGAGACCUGGGCUGAGCUCCCUCCUGUGCCGUAGAUGUACUGUGUGACCUUCGGUGAGAGUGGCCUAUAGGUCUGGUUCAGGGACUGAGUUCUGCCUUGAAAUUGCUUGAAUUGGAGGGAUCUGUGGCACUCCAACAGUACUGUUAGCCGUGAAGAGCAGGUGAAUGUGCAGAUCAGAAGCUGUCACCUUUGAAACCACAGAUCUGCACUGUAAAAGGGAACAAAAGGACUUCCCAUUUCCUGAGCCUGCAGUCACGUUUGUGAAGUUCAGAUGUUCUCCAGAUCAAGCCAUUAUGGAGAAAUGUGUUUUUUUCUGAUCAUAAUAAUUAGUGAUGAAAAGAUAACUGAAAUCCCUGGGAUUUUGGAGGACAGCUUCUGUCAGCACAGUCUUCUCUUUGUUCAACUGUACAGAGGCACCCAGAAGCAGCAGGGAACAGCAAGAAAAACAAGAGGAGACAAAGCAGGAAGGCUGCACACCAUGACCUGGGGACUCUCAUGGCAGCACGCAUGCUGGGAAGGUGAGCUCCACACCAAGCACUGAACUUGUCCUGUCCCAACCUGCAGUAAGUGCCCACUGCUUCUGCACACGUGAUGCUUGCCUUGGAGUUGUGGCUCUUUCAGAGAGCUGUUGUGAAGGAGGUACACAAAGAUGAUAAUCCUGGAAAAAGAAGGCUCUAAAGAUCCGCAGGUCACCGUGUGUGGCGUUGGUGUCUGCAGAAUGUCCGUACCUGAAGAAUCUGCCAAGCACUAUUUGAUGUUGUUCCUUGCUGGGGAUGUGUGUUUUGGCACCCUGUCCAUUAACACUCCCUGAAAUAGGGAGACAGAUCUGUGAGAUGGAAAUUUCUGACCUCUUGUAAAUGAGGCUUUUAUUCUCAGCAAGCUUGGUAUCCCUAAAUGUACAGUUAAUAUUCUUCUGUAUCAGGAAAAGCUGCUCAGAUACGUGGUCUCAACUGAUUCAGGCUUCAAGUUGGAAAGUUUUUCGUGCUGUUUAUAGAUGGAGAUGGUGGCUCUGCAUAUGCUGGUGUAUGUUGUUCCUAAAAGUAAUGACAUUUCCUUUAGACACCUAAGUUCUGAACCAAGAAUCUUGUUUCUGGAGGGCUGUGAAAUGCACGUAGCGCCGCACUGAAUCGAUGGGAUUAAUGAGUUCUCUCUACCUGUUUUGUUCGCUAAUGUCUGCUCUUCUGAAUUGGUUUGUUUUGCUUAACACACACGCUGUAUCAACCUAACUAUGUAGUUUUGGGCUAGAAGUCAGGUUUUCUGUGUUGCUAUCAGGUCUUCAACUUUUCAAAAUGAAAGGUCUUUAAUAUUAGUCUGGUUUUGAGCCAAUUUCUUAAUAAGAAUAACGUAUUAUAAAUUGCUGAAA
This 1560-nucleotide long non-coding RNA is filed under the name Anser brachyrhynchus (Pink-footed goose). RNAcentral's name for it is "lncRNA (ENSABRG00000017566.1)". The record is from RNAcentral. Lineage: Eukaryota; Metazoa; Chordata; Aves; Anseriformes; Anatidae.